RNAcentral lists this long non-coding RNA (9183 nucleotides) under Marmota monax (woodchuck). The record is from RNAcentral. Lineage: Eukaryota; Metazoa; Chordata; Mammalia; Rodentia; Sciuridae.
CAAGGCGGCGCGGGGAGCAGCCCGGGUCGGGCGCGGGAGGAGGACGGGGCCAGCGCAGGCCACGCCCGCUGCCCGCGGCGCCCGCUGCCCGCUCCUGCAGAAGGCGCGUUGCUGCAGACCUCCCGCGCCGCAGUGUGGAAGAAAAACGCUCUCACGCUGGACGCGAGCCGUUCGUGCAAACCAAGUUAAGGAACAGUGUUUGGCCCCAGAUGAGUCUCGGGGUGUGGCGGGCAGGCCGGACUUGGGGGUUGCCCCCUGCGGCCUGCGACUCUGCAGGGCGGGAGGAAGAGCUUCCUGGGAUCUAAUCUAGCACCUCCGUGCCCCAGCAGGCAUGUUCAGCUUUUCACCCCCCCAGGGCCAGGAGCCCCCGGAUAUGGUACAGGAGGUUCCCCUGGAAGUGUCAGCAUGCUCUUAUGGUGGGUGAAGCCUCGGGUUGGAAGGACAUUCAGGAUCUUUUGCUGAAGAACUUGGGGUCAGUCACUGCAGGUCUGCUGAUGCUGUCCAGGUGACGUCCUAAUAGGAUUUCACAUUGAACAAAACCUCCCAGGUCCUUGAAUCGCCUCCUACCACAAGCUGGGCACCUCUCCACUUGCCCUUACCUCUUGGCAUCCUUGUGUUCCUGAAUGAGGAACACUGUGUCAUAUGGGGCUGCUUAGGACCUGGUGUGUUGUCCCCUCUCCCCACAGACUUCUCCACCACCCUCAUCUGCCUUGAUUUUCAUUUUCUUCAGGUCCCAGGUGCACACACCUUCAGGAAGUCUCUGGAAGAUGGCGGCUCUAGGAGCUGUUGAGGAAGUUCUUCCUGUCCCAUCUCCCAUCAGUCUGUCAUCAUCAGGGACACCUGGAGCCCGGCACCACACAGCACAGCUUCACCUCCACAGUCAUCCACACGGUACUCAUCUGGCCCACUGUGUUCCCUCUGCCCUACCUCCACACUAUGGAGCCCCCAUCUGACCCAGCAACCCAGCUGGCUGAGAGGCAGCAGCAGACAGUUGUGCAGCUUCUUGGAGGCAGGGGCCUGAGAGGCAGCGCUAGGUCAGGACUCAGCCGUGGGAGGAGACCAAACCCAUGUCUGGCUUCCUAGGAAAAAGCCCCUGGGACCAUGGGACCAUUUCUUCCCUGGUGUAGAAAGAGUAGCCUCAGAAUCUGGGUCUGGUGUGAGCAGGAGUGAGCCAGCACCCCCAGCCCUGUCUGAAGCUGUGUUCCCAAGCAGGAGAAGAGAGCCCAGAGUUGUUGCUAGGCUGCUUUGGGUAUGGAACCUGUGGGACCUGCAGGGAUGGAGCCAUUGGCCUUGGUUUUACCCACAGUGUGUGUCUUUACUGGUCACAAGUAAGGAGCAGGCAGGGUGCACUGUGCCCCUGGCACACCUGGCUCUUGGGUCAUGGUGUCCUGAGGCUUCCUCUCUGUGUUGGAUAGCCAGGCUCAGUGCUCCUAAGAGCCUGAGCCAUUGACAGCAAAGACAAGGUCCCUCGUAAGGUAUGUCCUGGCAGCCUGCACCUAUGUUUAGAAGCUGGUGAAAGGUCCAGGAAAACAGCCUUCCUGGUGCCCAAGGUUCUCAGUCUUGGCUGUUCUUGUUAGUCUGUCUACUGGCAUAGUGACGCUGAGGCUUGUGGAGCAUGACUGCUGUACCAGGUCUAGGAUGAGCUUUUCAAAGCCCAGCCACAGCCUUUCACAUGCACACUCACAGAUAAGGACAGAGAGGACACCAAUAGCCAGGAAAUCACAUGGUGCAGCACAGGCCAAAAUGGGAGUUGUGAGCUCUGCGUCUGCUGCCUGACGGCAGGACCUUUUGCCCCUGCCCAUCCCCAGGAUAUUGCUGGGAAAGUACUUCUUUGGAGCACCUUGCAGUGGUUCCUGUGAACUAGGUGGAAUGUCUGGAAGGACCUCAGACUUAUUCUGUGCCGAGCCUUGUGGGGCCACCCCUACCACCAUCUCUUUCUCCUCUCCGGUGGUUUCUGGACCUUCAAGGGCCCCUGGCCUGUGCCCAGGGCCUGCGUCUCAGAGCCCAGAGCUGAGCCCCUUUGCCAUCUGGUUUCUCAGGAGUGCUCCAAGGCCCACAGAUCCCUGACAGACCCCAGUGUUUCCAGAACCUGCCCAGGGUUCCCCUGCCAGUUAGAAUUCGAGCCAGAACUUCUUAGAGCCAAUCCUUCCAGCUUCCAAGUCAGAGUCUGAGAUGAGCCAGAGGAAGCCCACCCAGGAGCCCUGAGUCCCAGUGAUCGUCAGAAGCCCACCCCAUACCCAGUCACUCCUAGAGACUCUCUGGCUGGGCUCAUACUGGGCACUUGGUGUCCUUGCAAGAGGAGCUGGCUCCUUCCUCCUCAGAGGAAAUGAAGGAUGCAGGGGGUUCAUUAAGCAGGGUGCUCAGCUGUCCCUGUGGGCAGCAGGCUGAGAUCCUGUGUCCGAAGCUGAGACCACCUCCUGGCUGGUCCCAGCCUCUUAGAGCAGGCUAGGAAGCAGGUGUAGGACAUAGUUGUUCUUCUCCCAGGACCUCUGUGUUCCUACAUAGACACAGGUCAGGGGCCAUGGCCAGUUUUGGGGUGCUGAGGGUCUGACACAGCUCCUCAGGGUCUGUGUUGUAUCAAUAUAGGGGCAGUGGAGGGCAGUGGGGCCUUCUGAUGGGGGCAUGGGAAGGAGGCCAGGCCAGAGACUGCCCAGCUUUUGUCUGCUUACAGAGCAAGGGAGGGUAAGUCCCAAAGCCAGGUUCUCAGGAGGGCUUCCUGGGGCAGCUCUUGACCAAGCCGGGGAGGAGGAGAAAGGGUACUCCUGGCUGGGGAGGCUCCUGGCAGUGGCACGGAGUCAAGCUGCCCUGCUCUUCUAGAGGUGCUGGGGAGGUGUAUCCGUGGCAGUGGAGGAGGUGGUGCUGUGUGUUAAGGGCUUGGCCCAGGAGCACGUGGCAUCCUGUAGGUGCCCUGGGCAAGUGGGGCUGAUUCCAGGGGAGGCAGCACUCUGGAGGGUGGGGCCUGAGCCAUAGCCCCCAACCCCUAGGCUCUCCCAGCUCCAACCCUGAGGUGCUCUCCCAGCCAUCAGAACUGGAUCUCCAAGACCUAGAGGAAGUGGAGAUCGGCAGAGACACCUGGCUUGGUGAGUGAGGACCACUGCCCACCCUACCCCGGCACACUGAGCACGUUUCCCAUUGCCCUGGAGCUCCUGAGCACCAGGCUCUGGGUAUUCCCACUGCUGUGGCUGGCGGCUGCUAUCUGAGGUUGGGCAGCUGCUUCCAGGGAGUUGGGCUACAGUACAGUUGUCACUGAGGCCACCGCCACCCCAUGGAGCUCUCUGAGCAGGUAUGAGCUCAUUGGAUCUUACCCGUCUGGCAUGGCAGGCUUCAAGAGAGGCUUGUUUCUUGUCCCUCAGUACUUGAGCCCAAAGGAUCAAAGUUCCAGAUCCUUGCCAGUCCUUAAUGUCAACCCUUGGGCCACCUCCUCCCAGCUCAGAGUAGACAUGCAGGUCUCGUUAACCACUGUGUCCUCGUAGACAGCCAAGGCCCCGUACACAUGCUCAGGUCACCAUCUGACAGAGCCCAGCUGCCCCCCACCGUAUGUUUCAUCUCAGCUGUUUGGGGCAGAACACCUUGGCCACUGUUCGGGGCCUCCUUCCACCUCACCAGUCCCAAGUCAGGCUUACCCCCCCAGGUUCUGCUCUUACUUGGUCCCAGUCCCUAGAAUGCCGCAGUGGGGCUGGAGCUGGGUACCAUCUGUCUGCCGUCUCUCCUUUCAGACUCAGAGGCAGAGCCUGGGCAGGCUCCAUCAUCUCCCCACCAGCAUGUUUCUGAAGACAGGGUGGACCCAGAGGGAGGGGCUCUGAGGGGCCUCCUGAGGAACUCUCCCCACAGGCCCAAGUGUGGGGAGAGCUUUGGGCAGGAGUCCAGCCUGGAGCGGCCAGCAGACCAGCCUCCAGGGCCCAUGCCCUGCACCCUGAGGAGGAGUGCCUGGUGCCUGGCACUCCUGUCGCAGGGAGCUUCAGAGACCGAGGGCAGCCCUGAACAGGCUCCAGAGCUGGGGUGCAGCUUGGGUCCCAGGCCACCACAGGCCAGUGCACGCGGCACCAAGCCGCACCGCUGCGAAGCCUGUGGCAAGAGCUUCAAGUACAACUCGCUGCUGCUGAAGCACCAGCGCAUCCACACAGGUGAGAAGCCCUAUGCCUGCCACGAGUGCGGCAAGCGCUUCCGUGGCUGGUCGGGCUUCAUCCAGCACCACCGCAUCCACACCGGGGAGAAGCCCUACGAGUGUGGCCAGUGCGGCCGCGCCUUCAGCCACAGCUCACACUUUACGCAGCACUUGCGCAUCCACAACGGCGAAAAGCCCUACAAGUGCCGCGAGUGUGGCCAGGCCUUCAGCCAGAGCUCCAACCUGGUGCGCCACCAGCGGCUGCACACGGGCGAGAGGCCCUACGCCUGCAGCCAGUGUGGCAAGGCCUUCAUCUGGAGCUCCGUGCUCAUUGAGCACCAGCGCAUCCACACGGGCGAGAAGCCCUACGAGUGCGCCGACUGCGGCAAGGCCUUCCGCGGCCGCUCGCACUUCUUCAGGCACCUACGGACUCACACCGGCGAGAAGCCUUUCGCGUGUGGUGCCUGCGGCAAGGCAUUCGGCCAGAGCUCCCAGCUCAUCCAGCACCAGAGGGUGCACUACCGCGAGUAGCCACAGCCUGGCCUGCAGUAAAUCCUGUGUGUGGAAACAGGAGCUGGCUUCUGCUGGGCGAGGUGGGCUGCUUCCCGACCUGAGGGCCACCAAGGGGGAGGGCCUGAGGCCAGGAGCCGGCCUGACCCUUCCAGAGCCUUGCCAUGGAGCCGUCAGACCUGCCCAGCACCGGAUGGGGACCAGUGGCAGCACCUGGAGCAGGCGGGGCGGACGGGGGGCUGCCUUCCAGGCUCCUGCGUUCCUCCAGCAGCCUGUGGCCUGGCCCAGGCUUCCUGUCGACCCUGGGCACAGGGUCUGCGGCAGCUGGGUCUCCUCAUGGCAGGUCUCCCCGCACAGCCCUCAGGCCUGUCCGUUGUCUCCUCCUUGCUCUUCCAUUUAGGGCUUGCAAGGUCAGCAGGCUUCCAUGAGAGGACCUCCCCGACCUGUGUUCUCCCUACCUGCCUCCCAUGCUGCUCCUGCUCUGACAAGGUGGGGACCUUGAGUUGUUGGGGCUGGACAGGUGUGCAGAGGGGUCAGGAUUUUGUCCUCUGAAGAUCUUCCCAGAGAGUCCUGUGGAGGGAAGGGCAGAGCCCGGUGCAGAGGGCAGGCUCCAAGCAGCCAGGGUUCCGGGCACCUUUCCUGCCCAGCUGUUCCCUCCAGAGCAGCUGAGGGACAGCAGACUCCUCCCAAGACUGCAGUGCCCAAGUGUGACCUCCCUGGCCCUCCCCACUGCUGGGCUUGCCCAGGGUUCCUGCUGGCAGGUCCCCGUGGUGGCUGGGAGGCACUACCCUGCUGCACUGGUGGUGUGCUUUGUGGCUGUCAUCAGCCCUUGGCCAGCCUGCUUCCCAGGGGACACGGAAGUUAUGAGGUGACGCAUGGCUUCCUGCAUGUCACAAGCAGUGACCCAUCUCAAGUCUCCUGAUGGGUCACACAGCCCUCUGCAGCCCCUUGAGGAAGGCACCUGUGGCCACCAAGUGCUGUUUGCCCCCACCCUGUGUCCCCAUGCCAACUGAGAGCCAAUCUAGAGGUGAGAGCUAGAGGUUAGGCUGUUGCCUGCCUCCCCCGCCCCUCAGGGAUACGUGGGCAGCGCGAGACUCUGCAGGCAGCCCAGCAGCCUCAUCACCAAGGACGGGCUCCAUUGGCAGUAAUGGAACCCAGCAGCAUCUAGGGAAGGUCCUAUGGUGCUCCAGGGGUCCCAGCCUCCUGGAAGUGGCCUUCAGGCACCUUGUGGGGCAGGGCCAGGUGCCCCAGAACUAGCUGUGGGUGCUAGUGGCUGGCAGGGCAGCUCUUCUGUGCUGGGUCUAAACCUUUGCUGAGGCAAAGUCACCGUUGUCCCUUGCUGGGCAGGACCACCAAGAUGAGCUGAAGUGGAAUUUGCAUCUCCCGUGGUACCCUUUUUCCUCCAAUCCCUGGCAGUCAGCAGAUUCCCAGAUGUUCCACCUGAUCUCCACCCAAUGUUUCCAGGAAAUUCAGUGUUAGGGGUCAGGCAUGGCUCCUCAGGACCGUUCUACUUACCCUUGCCCAUCCCCAUCAGCAUUCACUUGAUUAGAGCACUUAUCUCCUGUGCCCCAGAGGAACCUGGGCACCAUCUCCCCUCAGUUAUUCCUGCCUUGCAGGAGGUAUCUUGUCUGGGCCAGCCUGUGAAGGGCUCCUGCAGUGGCUGUUUCCAAACUCCAGAAGUGACCAUUUCUGUGAGCACAGCGUCUGCAUUUGGUCCCAGAGAAAGGGGCCCUAGAGGGACACUUGAGCCAUCAGGUCCUGGAGCUGCCAGAAAGGAUUUUGUGAGGCAGUUUCCAGGGAUUGCAGGCAAGGGGAGGGAGGGCUGUGAGCUGAUGAAUCCUAGAUGGAACCACUUGGUUUUAGAGUAUGAGGAUCUGCCCCAGGUGCCGUGAGACAAGAGGCAGAUAUAUCCAGGGUCACGCUGCGUUUUAUUGUGGAACUUACUGACAAAGGCAAAGUUGUGAUAAGAUCCAUUGCAUUCUCAAAGUUUGGAUCAGAAAGGGACAUAUAUAUGAAUCAGGACCAAAGUAACCUCAUCCUGGCUGAAUUGUACCUGGUUUAUCUUAAUAUGGAAGAGUUGGGUACAUCCCUGGAGUCGGGGUCUAACCUUGUGCAUUGUUUGCUAGUUGGUGAGUGCAAAACCACUAAGCACCACCAGGAGGAAGAGUAGAAAGGCAUAUUACUUGAAGUCAGGAGAACACGAGAUAAUUCUCAAAGCAGUGUGCCCCCCCAAAACAAAGCAAUGGGCUUUUAUUGGGGAAAUGGGCAUAUUCCCCUAGGAGGCUCAUCACUUGUAGAGGUGGGCACACUGCUGGGAAUGCUCAGUUUGAGGUCACAGCAUAGCCUUUAAAAAAAAAAAAAAAAAAAAACCCCAGCUGGCGAUGCCUCUGGGCAGAGAAUUCAGUAUUACAAUGAGCAGAGUUCACUCCAGGUCACCUAGACUCCGUGGUCAGCAGCUUGCACUGGUUCCUUGUGAGUUGCUCUGGAGAGUUUGGUCUGGAACAAAACACCUCUGAUGGAGCAUUAAGUCACUUAAGGGGCGGCUUCUCCUUUCCUCCAGGAAGCCUAGGCGUUUGUCCCCAACUGUACCAGCCCAGUGCUAACAGUAUGAUUCUGUGGCUUGUCUAUCACAGUUUGCUGGGGAACUGUGCAGGAAAAACCAAUUAGGGUUACUCUGGGGCAAUUGUGGGGGUAGACUCAAGAUGGCUGUAGUCAAGCUGAAUCUACCCAGGCUGCACGUGGCUGUGGCAAAAAGGGUCAAUCCUGGGUUUGGAGACUGCUGUUGGACACAAGGGUUUGGUUUUUACAUAAACAUACCUGUAUGGUGCAAUGGAUAAGAAAAUCAACUGUGGAACUUAAAGGACAGCUGUACUCUUAUCUGUGUAAAAUGAGAUUAAUUUCUCUGAACCUGUUUCCUGGUUAGUAAUAUGAUGAAGUCGGGUUUUCAGUGUUUUGAGAGCCCUUGGGUAAGUUGGGACUUCAGUCGCAAAGCAGUUAGCAACCCUGCCCUUCAAGGGGAUAGAGGAGGCCAGAUCCUGGUGUUGACCAGGUGCCCCUCACGGGAUACUUCCUUCAUCUGGUAGGUAGCCUUGUGUUUAGCUGUGGACCUGUACCAAGGUUUCCUCACUUGGGAGCGUGUCUAUGCUGGCAGACACCUGAGUGGCUCUUGUCUGACCCAUUUUGUGGAAGGCAAUCCAUCUUUGCCCCCGCGGUUCCUUUCUAAGUACUCCGCUCCUGCAGCUGGUCCGACUGUGCCUAGCCUGGGUUCAUUGCUGGACGCUCGCGUUCCCACCCCAGUCCCGGCCAGCACCCCCUCUCUCCUGGACCACAGCCUCAACCCAGAGUUGGAUUCCCUUUUUCUUCCCACCUACAAGCACAAAGGCCUUGACGCCCCCCACUUCCCGCAAGCCCUUAUGGCCUGUAGGUCCCCUUGCUUGCCCCGUCUGUGCCCCACCGCCGCAUCCCCUAGCACCUCGGACAGCGCCGGGCGAGCAGCCGCGGUCCCCAGGCUGGACUUGGGAGCCAGCCUUCGGAAGUGCCUGCGGCGUGGGGCGGGGCCUGCUGGCCGCGCUUCCGUCUCAGCGGUGCGCGUGCCGCGCGCUGGAACUUGGGCCUCCGGGACCACGGAGCACCCCUCUGCCCCCGAGCCGGCCGGCCGUGCGUCCUCCGGGGCCCCUCUGGUCCCGGUCCGCCCCGCGCGCGGCGGCCAGCUGCAGCUGUGAGCGUGGGGUGUGUCCCCUGCAUCAAGCCAGGGACCCACUCCGCAGGCGCGCCUUGAACGAGGCCGGUACCGUCUGGCCAGCGACACCUGGUGGCCACCGUGAAAGGAGGGAGGCUGGAGGAGUCGUGGGGAAAGCUGCGCGGCGCGUUCCUCUCCGCGAAGGCGCGUCCUGGAAUGUCGGGACAGCGCUUUCUCAGUGCAGCCCACCGGGAUCGCCGAGCGUCUGCCCCUGUCGCCUUCUCCUGCACACCAGUCGGGGCGAAAGGGAUGCUCCUGCUGUUGCCGCCGGAAGAGACCCACCCUCCUGGACCUUGCCUGGACACGGUCUGUUGGCCAGGCAGCUAGCCGCUGCCUGCCUCCUGCGCAGUCCUGUGUCCCUUCGGAGCGCACCUGGGCUCUAAGCACAGCCCGGUGGGUGUCUUCUGAGACCCUCAGGACCUGUCCCAGGACCGGAAGUGUACAUCCCAGCCAAUGGGCUCUGGCACCGGCUCUAACCUUGUCUCCCGCCUCACCUGCCCAGGGAGACCGGCCAGACUCUCCGUCAGGCAGCCAGGAUCCCAGAACACCGUACUUACCUCUCCAGCCCCCUUCUUCGUCCCUCGGGCUCGAGCCCCAACCCUGCUGCCUCCCCUCACUCAGCCAGCAGCCUCCAUGGGCUCUGCCAACAGCCCACCCUUGCCUGCUGCCCUACUGGGUGGGUGGGAGGUACCCCGCCACACCGCAGAUCUCAGGGAGGAAAGUUGAAGUCGCAUCCUUAAAAAGCACGUUUUUAACAAAUUUCUUUUCCCCAAAGCAUUUGUUUGUGGUCUUUAAAGAAAUUUUAGAAAAUGUAAAAAGAAAGAAAAAG